UGUCGGUUCUCCCGCAACACUACCCUGUGGACUCGGUCAGAUCCGGAAGGAAGCAGCCGCAGCAGGUGACGUGUGUGCCGGGAUGUAGCUGGCAGGG
RNAcentral lists this signal recognition particle RNA (97 nucleotides) under Pectobacterium wasabiae CFBP 3304. RNAcentral describes it as "signal recognition particle sRNA small type". It matches the Rfam family "Bacterial small signal recognition particle RNA". Rfam says of the family: The signal recognition particle (SRP) is a universally conserved ribonucleoprotein involved in the co-translational targeting of proteins to membranes. Archaeal SRP consists of a 7S RNA and homologues of the eukaryotic SRP19 and SRP54 proteins. RNAcentral also lists the same sequence under 1 other name. Lineage: Bacteria; Pseudomonadati; Pseudomonadota; Gammaproteobacteria; Enterobacterales; Pectobacteriaceae. The record is from RNAcentral.